GGAGGGAGGGGUGAAUUGCUAAUCCCUUGUCAAUCUUCCCGAUGCGUUUUCUGCAAUUAUGCGUCACAUGCUUUGUUGUCUUUGCAUUGAGUUGAUACAGUUACAGGGGUCUGCCUCUUCCUUCUCGGGGUGCCAAAAGACCCAUUCUUACCCAUCUAUAUUUUCACUCUAUAAAUAGCAAAAUUACCCAUUGUUUUGCUGAAAGAAUUAAGGAUAUUUUGAGAGAAAAAAGAUGUUGGUGAUGGGAAUAAGCUUGCAAUGUUUGAUGGACUUGGUUGUAGCUGGAUUUUCCCUAAUGAUUGGGUUGGGAAUUUUCGCUUUUAUUGCUUCAAUUUUAUGCUCUGCUGCUUUCUAUCAGAAUGCAAAGCAACUUUCUUGAAACCCCUUUAUGGAUUUAGGAUAGAAAAAACAUAAGAAAUAAAAGUUGUCGUCCUUCCACUAUCUCCUACAUGAAUCUGGCACUCUUGCCUGCUUGUAAGCCAGGAACUGCAUGGAGAGGAUAAACUGAACUGAUAAGUAGAGCCCAUUUUAACUGUUUUGUUGUUUGUAAUAGGUAGAGAAAAGUAUGUGCCCUUAGAAAAAAGGCAUUUGUUUUGCAAUAGAGAAAUGAAUAUGCAGUUUUGAGACAGCCAGCUAUUUCCCCUUCUGAUAUAUAAAUAGUUUGAUAUUUUAGAAAAA
Long non-coding RNA from Solanum tuberosum (potato), 678 nucleotides. RefSeq lists it as uncharacterized. Lineage: Eukaryota; Viridiplantae; Streptophyta; Magnoliopsida; Solanales; Solanaceae. The record is from RefSeq and is a predicted model, not a curated record. The transcript is spliced from 2 exons.